CCUUAGUACGGCGAGUGAAGCGGUAAAAGCUCAAAUUUGAAAUCUGGUACUUUCAGUGCCCGAGUUGUAAUUUGUAGAAUUUGUCUUUGAUUAGGUCCUUGUCUAUGUUCCUUGGAACAGGACGUCAUAGAGGGUGAGAAUCCCGUUUGGCGAGGAUACCUUUUCUCUGUAAGACUUUUUCGAAGAGUCGAGUUGUUUGGGAAUGCAGCUCAAAGUGGGUGGUAAAUUCCAUCUAAAGCUAAAUAUUGGCGAGAGACCGAUAGCGAACAAGUACAGUGAUGGAAAGAUGAAAAGAACUUUGAAAAGAGAGUGAAAAAGUACGUGAAAUUGUUGAAAGGGAAGGGCAUUUGAUCAGACAUGGUGUUUUUUGCAUGCACUCGCCUCUCGUGGGCUUGGGCCUCUCAAAAAUUUCACUGGGCCAACAUCAAUUCUGGCAGCAGGAUAAAUCAUUAAGAAUGUAGCUACUUCGGUAGUGUUAUAGCUUUUUGGAAUACUGUUAGCCGGGAUUGAGGACUGCGCUUCGGCAAGGAUGUUGGCAUAAUGGUUAAAUGCCGCCCGUCUUGAACC
This 567-nucleotide ribosomal RNA is filed under the name Hanseniaspora uvarum. Its description in RNAcentral is "partial large subunit ribosomal RNA". It matches the Rfam family "Eukaryotic large subunit ribosomal RNA", at positions 78 to 660 of the family's 3401-position model. The record is from RNAcentral. Lineage: Eukaryota; Fungi; Ascomycota; Saccharomycetes; Saccharomycodales; Saccharomycodaceae.